Molecule: ribosomal RNA, 563 nt
Filed under: uncultured bacterium
Lineage: Bacteria
Description: partial 16S ribosomal RNA
Rfam family: Bacterial small subunit ribosomal RNA
Source: RNAcentral
UGGGGAAUUUUGGACAAUGGGCGAAAGCCUGAUCCAGCAAUGCCGCGUGUGUGAAGAAGGCCUUCGGGUUGUAAAGCACUUUUGUCCGGAAAGAAAUCCUUGGCUCUAAUACAGUCGGGGGAUGACGGUACCGGAAGAAUAAGCACCGGCUAACUACGUGCCAGCAGCCGCGGUAAUACGUAGGGUGCAAGCGUUAAUCGGAAUUACUGGGCGUAAAGCGUGCGCAGGCGGUUUGCUAAGACCGAUGUGAAAUCCCCGGGCUCAACCUGGGAACUGCAUUGGUGACUGGCAGGCUAGAGUAUGGCAGAGGGGGGUAGAAUUCCACGUGUAGCAGUGAAAUGCGUAGAGAUGUGGAGGAAUACCGAUGGCGAAGGCAGCCCCCUGGGCAAUACUGACGCUCAUGCACGAAAGCGUGGGGAGCAAACAGGAUUNGAUACCCUGGUAGUCCACGCCCUAAACGAUGUCAACUAGUUGUUGGGGAUUCAUUUCCUUAGUAACGUAGCUAACGCGUGAAGUUGACCGCCUGGGGAGUACGGUCGCAAGAUUAAAACUUAAAGGAAUUG